UAGGGAAUCUUCGGCAAUGGGGGCAACCCUGACCGAGCAACGCCGCGUGAGUGAAGAAGGUUUUCGGAUCGUAAAGCUCUGUUGUAAGAGAAGAACGUGUGUGAGAGUGGAAAGUUCACACAGUGACGGUAACUUACCAGAAAGGGACGGCUAACUACGUGCCAGCAGCCGCGGUAAUACGUAGGUCCCGAGCGUUGUCCGGAUUUAUUGGGCGUAAAGCGAGCGCAGGCGGUUUAAUAAGUCUGAAGUUAAAGGCAGUGGCUUAACCAUUGUUCGCUUUGGAAACUGUUAAACUUGAGUGCAGAAGGGGAGAGUGGAAUUCCAUGUGUAGCGGUGAAAUGCGUAGAUAUAUGGAGGAACACCGGUGGCGAAAGCGGCUCUCUGGUCUGUAACUGACGCUGAGGCUCGAAAGCGUGGGGAGCAAACGGG
Molecule: ribosomal RNA, 429 nt
Filed under: bacterium
Lineage: Bacteria
Description: partial 16S ribosomal RNA
Rfam family: Bacterial small subunit ribosomal RNA
Source: RNAcentral